RNAcentral lists this ribosomal RNA (253 nucleotides) under uncultured bacterium. RNAcentral's name for it is "partial 16S ribosomal RNA". It matches the Rfam family "Bacterial small subunit ribosomal RNA", at positions 524 to 776 of the family's 1533-position model. The record is from RNAcentral.
CACGGGGGGAGCAAGCGUUGUUCGGAAUCACUGGGCGUAAAGGGCGUGUAGGCGGUCAGGUAAGUGAGAUGUGAAAUGCCCCGGCUCACCCGGGGACCGGCAUCUCAUACUGCUUGGCUUGAGUACGGGAGAGGAUGUGGGAAUUCCUGGUGUAGCGGUGAAAUGCGUAGAUAUCGGGAAGAACAUCAGUGGCGAAGGCGGCCUGCUGGGCUGUUGCUGACGCUGAGGCGCGACAGCGUGGGGAGCAAACAGG